UGACACAUGCGCGUGCGCGGACACGCCGGGGUGGGGGAGAUGCCUGCGGAAGUCUGUUUGCAUCGUGCGCCUCCUCUGUUUCGGGUAAAACUGCGAAGAGUCGCGCCGCACGAGGUCCGGACGCGUGAGCCAUGGUCUCCCGUCCCGCCCGGGCCGCUGCCUGCCCACGCACGCGUCCUCCGCGCCUCUCCGCGGGAGCCGCACCCACCCGGCCACUGUGGAUCCAGCCAGGGCCUUCACGCUGGGCUGCACACCACACCCUUUUCUCGUUUUUAAUUUGAGGCAGGGGCUUGCUAAGUUCCCCAGGGUGGGCUCAGACUUGCAGUUCUCCUGCCUCAGGCUCCCUGAGUGGCUGGGAUUACAACCGUGCUCCACCUGUCCCGGGCCUCUCUCCCCUUUUAUAGCUGAGUACUAUUUCACUGUGUAUGCGUCACAUUUGUUUCAACCAAGACAUUUCUUGUUACCUUUUAGAUACACAGAACAUGACAUUCGCGCAGGGAAUUGCACCUGUUGGAGCCGCGUCUUGCUGCUCCCUCCCCUCCCUUCAGCCCUCUUCCCCUCCUUGUGCAAAAGGAGAUGCUCUGUGCUUUCCCCAGUAACAUGAGGCCCGGGCAGGCGGGCAGGCCCUUCCACUGCUGAUCUAUGGAGAUGCCCCGCAACCUGGAAAGAAGCCACGCCCGUUUUGGCUUGGACAUUUCGCCCUAAGCAGCCGUUUUCUUGGUUCUCUGCCAAGCAGGACCUCACCUCGAAGGUGCCAACCUUUCUGGCUGAAGCAGGCUGGUGCCAGUGGCACCUCCGGGACCAGUGAAGGGGCUCCAGGAGCACCAGUGGAGGGCGAGGCGGGAGCUGGGGAAUCUCCUGGAAGGAUGUCUGCUGUCAACGCGAGCCGUGAAGUGGCUUCUGAA
Heterocephalus glaber (naked mole-rat) is the source of this 905-nucleotide non-coding RNA. The record is from RefSeq and is a predicted model, not a curated record. NCBI's taxonomy places the organism in Eukaryota, Metazoa, Chordata, Mammalia, Rodentia, Bathyergidae.